RNAcentral lists this ribosomal RNA (468 nucleotides) under uncultured bacterium. Its description in RNAcentral is "partial 16S ribosomal RNA". It matches the Rfam family "Bacterial small subunit ribosomal RNA", at positions 28 to 507 of the family's 1533-position model. The record is from RNAcentral.
GACGAACGCUGGCGGCGUGCUUAACACAUGCAAGUCGAACGGAAAGGCCCUGCUUUUGUGGGGUGCUCGAGUGGCGAACGGGUGAGUAACACGUGAGUAACCUGCCCUUGACUUUGGGAUAACUUCAGGAAACUGGGGCUAAUACCGGAUAGGAGCUCCUGCUGCAUGGUGGGGGUUGGAAAGUUUCGGCGGUUGGGGGUGGACUCGCGGCUUAUCAGCUUGUUGGUGGGGUAGUGGCUUACCAAGGCUGUGACGGGUAGCCGGCCUGAGAGGGUGACCGGCCACAUUGGGACUGAGAUACGGCCCAGACUCCUACGGGAGGCAGGAGUGGGGAAUAUUGCACAAUGGGCGGAAGCCUGAUGCAGCAACGCCGCGUGCGGGAUGACGGCCUUCGGGUUGUAAACCGCUUUCGCCUGUGACGAAGCGUGAGUGACGGUAAUGGGUAAAGAAGCACCGGCUAACUACGUG